Molecule: ribosomal RNA, 265 nt
Filed under: uncultured Staphylococcus sp.
Lineage: Bacteria; Bacillati; Bacillota; Bacilli; Caryophanales; Staphylococcaceae
Description: partial 16S ribosomal RNA
Rfam family: Bacterial small subunit ribosomal RNA
Source: RNAcentral
CGGCGACGGGUGAGUAACACGUGGGUAACCUACCUAUAAGACUGGGACAACUUCGGGAAACCGGAGCUAAUACCGGAUAAGAUAUCGAACCGCAUGGUUCGAUAGUGAAAGAUGGUUUUGCUAUCACUUAUAGAUGGACCCGCGCCGUAUUAGCUAGUUGGUGAGGUAACGGCUCACCAAGGCAACGAUACGUAGCCGACCUGAGAGGGUGAUCGGCCACACUGGAACUGAGACACGGUCCAGACUCCUACGGGAGGCAGCAGGG